This is a long non-coding RNA of Motacilla alba alba, 338 nucleotides long. RefSeq lists it as uncharacterized. The transcript has 3 exons. NCBI's taxonomy places the organism in Eukaryota, Metazoa, Chordata, Aves, Passeriformes, Motacillidae. The record is from RefSeq and is a predicted model, not a curated record.
CUAGAAGUAAGUACAGGCUCAAAAAGAACUUAAUGGAGAACACUUGGUUGAAACUCAGUGCUUCCUAUUGCAAUCCUUCCACAGAAUGUCUUCAACAGACUGGAUUCUGUUCAGAAUCAGGAAAGAUGCAUUUCACAAUUUGGGUUCUAUAAUGUUGCUAUUUCUUCAAAAUUAGAAAUGAAGACCAAUCAUGAUAUGAAAAGAUCUGCAGAACAGUUGGAUUCUGAACACAAAGAAAAGAAAGUGUCUGACAUUACUAAUCACAAAAUUCAGCUUCUGGCUAAGCCAAGGCACACUGUCAAGAUGAAGUGCUGCAUAAUUUUAAAAAUAGUUUGGCC